This 545-nucleotide long non-coding RNA is filed under the name Lepisosteus oculatus (spotted gar). RNAcentral's name for it is "lncRNA (ENSLOCG00000023278.1)". Lineage: Eukaryota; Metazoa; Chordata; Actinopteri; Semionotiformes; Lepisosteidae. The record is from RNAcentral.
AGAAACAUUCAUGCUGGGACUUGCAUGGCACAGAGUAAUAUGAGGCAUUUGAAAGGCACCUUUUGAAAGGAGGAGGUGCCGAUGUCAAGUAGACAAGACCGUGGACUUUUGAAAACCUCCACUCUACCCUGACACAGCAGUUAUUCCGAAGAGAAAAAAUGUUUCUGUGUUGAAGCUGAUUGUCAGCACCCCUCAUCCAAGGGUUUUCAAAGUUCGGGCAAAUUAAACAGCAGCACCUGUUGAAACAAAUCAAUCAGCCUCACCUUCUCUUGGUUUGACUGUUUUCAGAUGAAGAGCUAUGUCUUUUAGAAUGAGCAGGACUCGAGGUAGAUCUUGUCAAAGGCCAGGGCGCGCCAAUCCGCAGAAGAUCAAAAGCAGACACGUUUGCAACAGACAGAAGCAGACUUCUCAUUCCGUCACACGGAAGCCUGGACUUUGCAGGACCUCUCAAUGCAUGUGCAGUGUAGAAAAAUCAGAAGACCUGAAGAUUUUACAAAUGAUCCUUCCGAAAACUGAGACAAAUGUACUAAAAAUAGGACCACCAA